This 779-nucleotide long non-coding RNA is filed under the name Brachypodium distachyon (stiff brome). Its description in RNAcentral is "long non-coding RNA (BDIS_LNC002879)". The record is from RNAcentral. Lineage: Eukaryota; Viridiplantae; Streptophyta; Magnoliopsida; Poales; Poaceae.
GACGAUGGGUACCAUCAUGGCGAUGCACGGAUCGAUCGAUCGAUUUGAUGAUGCCUUUAGUGGAACUUGAGGCUGGUGAGGAUGUUGUUGUUGACGGGGUCGGAGAGGUGGUCGAGGAGGUUCUGGAAGGGGCCGACGCCGGUGAAGAUGGCCUGGAUGGACAUGCCGAGGAAGGCGAGCAUGGCAAGGCGGCCGUUCUUGAUCUCCUUGAGCUUGAGCUCUGCCAACUCCUUGUCGCUCUUGGUGCCGAAGCCGAGCGGGUUGAAGAUGGGCCCGCCGGGGUAGGCGGGGUCGCCGGAGCCGCCGAGGAACUUCUCCAGGCCCAGGAAGUACUGCUUCCCCAUGGAGCCUGGGUUGUACCAGUCCUGCAGCCGCCGGUGCUCCGCGAACCCGAUCAGCGCCAUCUCGAACACGAACAGCGUGUAGGGGUCGGCCCAGUACUGGUACGUGCCCGCAGGCGGGAUGGCGCCCGCCUGGAACCACGGGAUCGCCGUCUCCGGCGGGACAAGCCCGACCUUGCCCAAGGCCUCCGGUGCGAUCAUGCCCACCACGCCCAUCAUCGCCGUCCGCCCGUUGAAGACCUCGCCGUAGGCCAGCCACUUGGGCUCGAUGAACCCGCCGGUGCCCUCCGGGUCCGACAGGCCCAGCGGGUCGAAGCCGAAGUCACCCGGCAGUCUGCACACCAUUAAUACUUUCUUGAUCAGAUUCUCAAUCAAUUCUCUUUGCCACCCUGCCAAUAUUCCAAUGAAUACAUAUUGUGCUCCGGUGCAAGACUUACG